Molecule: ribosomal RNA, 688 nt
Filed under: Trichoderma applanatum
Lineage: Eukaryota; Fungi; Ascomycota; Sordariomycetes; Hypocreales; Hypocreaceae
Description: eukaryotic LSU rRNA
Rfam family: 5.8S ribosomal RNA (bases 298-451)
Source: RNAcentral
UCUCCGUUGGUGAACCAGCGGAGGGAUCAUUACCGAGUUUACAACUCCCAAACCCCAAUGUGAACGUUACCAAUCCUGUUGCCUCGGCGGGUUAUUUUCUGCCCCGGGCGCGUCGCAGCCCCGGACCAAGGCGCCCGCCGGAGGACCAACUUACAAACUCUUUAUUUUUUUCUUUUGUUCUCCGUACGGGGGAGGCGUCCUCGCGGGCCCCUCUUUCGCAUCGUCGACAAGAGCGUUAAGCUUCUGAGCUUUCUCGGCGCUCCUAGCGGGCGUUCCGAAAAAAACAAAAUGAAUCAAAACUUUCAACAACGGAUCUCUUGGUUCUGGCAUCGAUGAAGAACGCAGCGAAAUGCGAUAAGUAAUGUGAAUUGCAGAAUUCAGUGAAUCAUCGAAUCUUUGAACGCACAUUGCGCCCGCCAGUAUUCUGGCGGGCAUGCCUGUCCGAGCGUCAUUUCAACCCUCGAGCCCCUCCGGGGGGUCGGCGUUGGGGAUCGGCCUUCCUUCCGCCCCGCCCUCGCGGCGGGCGGGAGUUCGCCGGCCCCGAAAUGCAGUGGCGGUCUCGCCGCAGCCUCUCCUGCGCAGUAGUUUGCACACUCGCAACGGGAGCGCGGCGCGUCCACGGCCGUAAAACAACCCAAACUUCUGAAAGGUUGACCUCGGAUCAGGUAGGAAUACCCGCUGAACUUAA